This 868-nucleotide ribosomal RNA is filed under the name uncultured archaeon. RNAcentral describes it as "bacterial SSU rRNA". It matches the Rfam family "Archaeal small subunit ribosomal RNA", at positions 1 to 878 of the family's 1478-position model. The record is from RNAcentral.
CUCCCGUUGAUCCCGCCGGACCCGACUGCUAUCAGAGUGGGACUAAGCCAUGCGAGUCAACGCAGCAAUGCGUGGCAUACGGCUCAGUAACACGUAGUCAACAUGCCCAGGGGACGUGGAUAACCUCGGGAAACUGAGGAUAAACCACGAUAGGCCAAGGUUUCUGGAAUGGACACUGGCUGAAACCUACAUGGCCCCUGGAUUGGACUGCGGCCGAUCAGGCUGUUGGUGAGGUAAUGGCCCACCAAACCUGUAACCGGUACGGGCUUUGAGAGAAGGAGCCCGGAGAUGGGCACUGAGACAAGGGCCCAGGCCCUAUGGGGCGCAGCAGGCGCGAAACCUCUGCAAUAGGCGAAAGCUUGACAGGGUUACUCUGAGUGAUGCCCGCUAAGGGCAUCUUUUGGCACCUCUAAAAAUGGUGCAGAAUAAGGGGUGGGCAAGUCUGGUGUCAGCCGCCGCGGUAAUACCAGCACCCCGAGUGGUCGGGACGAUUAUUGGGCCUAAAGCAUCCGUAGCUUGUUCUGCAAGUCCUCCGUUAAAUCCACCUGCUCAACAGAUGGGCUGCGGGGGAUACUACAGGGCUAGGAGGCGGGAGAGGCAAACGGUACUCAGUGGGUAGGGGUAAAAUCCUCUGAUCCACUGAAGACCACCAGUGGCGAAGGCGGUUUGCCAGAACGCGCUCGACGGUGAGGGAUGAAAGCUGGGGGAGCAAACCGGAUUAGAUACCCGGGUAGUCCCAGCUGUAAACGAUGCAGACUCGGUGAUGGGUUGGCUUUGAGCCAACCCAGUGCCGCAGGGAAGCCGUUAAGUCUGCCGCCUGGGGAGUACGGUCGCAAGACUGAAACUUAAAGGAAUUGGCGGGGGAGCA